Molecule: long non-coding RNA, 245 nt
Organism: Drosophila navojoa
Lineage: Eukaryota; Metazoa; Arthropoda; Insecta; Diptera; Drosophilidae
Source: RefSeq, a predicted model, not a curated record
UUUGGAAGAAAAUCGAGAAACAGACGAAAACAAUUUUGCUUUGCACAUUUGUUAGCUUGCCCGGGAUGUGUUUGUGUGUGUCUGUGUCUGUGUCUGUGUGUGGUGUAUGCCGUAUGUGUGCGUGUUCGUGUGCGGUGUAUAGAUUUAGAUAUACAGAUAUAUGUAAGUAAUGCUUAGACCUUAAACAAAUUCCUUACUUUUCGUUUGACUUACGACUACGAAAUUUCACUAUAAAAAUUUACAAU